RNAcentral lists this ribosomal RNA (449 nucleotides) under uncultured bacterium. Its description in RNAcentral is "partial 16S ribosomal RNA". It matches the Rfam family "Bacterial small subunit ribosomal RNA", at positions 29 to 523 of the family's 1533-position model. The record is from RNAcentral.
AACGAACGCUGGCGGCAUGCCUAACACAUGCAAGUCGAACGAGAUCUUCGGGUCUAGUGGCGCACGGGUGCGUAACGCGUGGGAAUCUGCCCUUUGGUUCGGAAUAACAGUUGGAAACGACUGCUAAUACCGGAUGAUGACGAAAGUCCAAAGAUUUAUCGCCAGAGGAUGAGCCCGCGUAGGAUUAGAUAGUUGGUGUGGUAAAGGCGCACCAAGGCGACGAUCCUUAGCUGGUCUGAGAGGAUGAUCAGCCACACUGGGACUGAGACACGGCCCAGACUCCUACGGGAGGCAGCAGUGGGGAAUAUUGGACAAUGGGCGAAAGCCUGAUCCAGCAAUGCCGCGCGAGUGAUGAAGGCCUUAGGGUUGUAAAGCUCUUUUACCCGGGAUGAUAAUGACAGUACCGGAAGAAUAAGCUCCGGCUAACUCCGUGCCAGCCGCCGCCGUAA